This 426-nucleotide ribosomal RNA is filed under the name bacterium. RNAcentral's name for it is "bacterial SSU rRNA". It matches the Rfam family "Bacterial small subunit ribosomal RNA", at positions 469 to 894 of the family's 1533-position model. The record is from RNAcentral.
UUGACGUUACCCGCACAAAAAGCACCGGCUAACUCCGUGCCAGCAGCCGCGGUAAUACGGAGGGGGCAAGCGUUAAUCGGAAUUACUGGGCGUAAAGCGCACGCAGGCGGUUUGUUAAGUCUGAUGUGAAAUCCCCGGGCUCAACCUGGGAACUGCAUCUGAUACUGGCAAGCUUGAGUCUCGAAGAGGGGGGUGGAAUUCCAGGUGUAGCGGUGAAAUGCGUAGAGAUCUGGAGGAAUACCGGUGGCGAAGGCGGCCCCCUGGACUAAAACUGACGCUCAGGUGCGAAAGCGUGGGGAGCAAACAGGAUUAGAUACCCUGGUAGUCCACGCCGUAAACGAUGUCUACUUGGAGGUUGUGCCCUUGAGGCGUGUCUUCCGGAACUAACGCGUUAAAUCAACCGCCUGGGGAGUACGGCCGCAAGGA